This 397-nucleotide ribosomal RNA is filed under the name uncultured bacterium. Its description in RNAcentral is "partial 16S ribosomal RNA". It matches the Rfam family "Bacterial small subunit ribosomal RNA", at positions 523 to 918 of the family's 1533-position model. The record is from RNAcentral.
AUACGUAGGGGACGAGCGUUGUCCGGAAUGAUUGGGCGUAAAGGGCGCGUAGGCGGCCCGGUAAGUCUGGAGUGAAAGUCCUGCUUUUAAGGUGGGAAUUGCUUUGGAUACUGUCGGGCUUGAGUGCAGGAGAGGUAAGUGGAAUUCCCAGUGUAGCGGUGAAAUGCGUAGAGAUUGGGAGGAACACCAGUGGCGAAGGCGACUUACUGUACUGUAACUGACGCUGAGGCGCGAAAGUGUGGGGAGCAAACAGGAUUAGAUACCCUGGUAGUCCACACUGUAAACGAUGAAUGCUAGGUGUAGGGGGUAUCGACCCCUUCUGUGCCGCAGUUAACACAAUAAGCAUUCCGCCUGGGGAGUACGGCCGCAAGGUUGAAACUCAAAGGAAUUGACGGGG